UAACGAAUAUUGGGCAAUGGGCGAAAGCCUGACCCAGCGACGCCGCGUGUGGGAAGAAGUUCUUCGGAAUGUAAACCACUGUCAGGGGCUACCAAGCGACUAGACCUAACACGUCUAGGAGUUGAGGCGCCCCAGAGGAAGCAACGGCUAACUUCGUGCCAGCAGCCGCGGUAAUACGAAGGUUGCUAGCGUUGUUCGGAAUCACUGGGCUUAAAGCGCAUGUAGGCGGCUCAUCAAGUGUCUUGUGAAAUCCCCUGGCUCAACCAGGGAAUUGCUCGGCAUACUGUUGAGCUUGAGGCAGGUAGGGAUGUGUGGAACUCUUGGUGGAGCGGUGGAAUGCGUAGAUAUCAAGAGGAACGCCGGAGGCGAAAGCGACGCAUUGGGCCUGUCCUGACGCUGAGAUGCGAAAGCCAGGGGAGCAAACG
Molecule: ribosomal RNA, 425 nt
Filed under: uncultured bacterium
Lineage: Bacteria
Description: partial 16S ribosomal RNA
Rfam family: Bacterial small subunit ribosomal RNA
Source: RNAcentral